GACAUUCUGCCUUGUGCGAGUAAGUGUGGUGUUUUAAAUCCGAACACAUUUAAAACGGGAACCGGUCGCCGCAUCAGGAUUGCAGACCUCCCGGCUUUGCCGGAAGAAGGGAGCGUGAGCGUUGCGGGAUGGUACCCACCUGCUGAGAAGCGGGUUUAUAUUCCAUGCGACGGCAAGGCGGGUCACUU
This 188-nucleotide non-coding RNA is filed under the name Candidatus Faecivivens stercorigallinarum. RNAcentral's name for it is "6S RNA". It matches the Rfam family "6S / SsrS RNA". Rfam says of the family: E. coli 6S RNA was the first non coding RNA to be sequenced, but its function was unknown until recently. Lineage: Bacteria; Bacillati; Bacillota; Clostridia; Eubacteriales; Oscillospiraceae. The record is from RNAcentral.